CUCUCUCUUUCCUAUCCUCUCCUUCAACCCCUGCCUCUUCCCUGCUGCUCCGCCGCCGCCUCUUUCUCCGCCAAAUACACUACAUGCCGCCGCCUAUGCCCGUGCCCUCUUCAUCUCCCAUCCCGAGCUCCACCUCCUCCAGCCUCAUAUCCCCUGAUCUUCCCGAUUUGGUUCACGGGAGCACACGGGAGGGAGUCUUCGAGUGGUGGCAGCGUCAGAUCCCUCCGUCUCGCGAGGCAGGGUCUCCUGUCCGUGCCACGAUGCCGCCGGCAUGGAGGCCCAGGCCGGGUAGCCGCCGCGGUAUCGGGUGCGCCGGUGAGGUCUCUGGGGACCGCGCAGUAGGGGACUGGCGCGGCUUCUGGUCGUUGGUUCCGGCGAUGCCAAGCCAAAGAUCUGAGUCGUAGAGCCGCAAGUAGCAGCUGGACAUCCAUCCGCCGACCCCGAUAGCAAGCUUCGGCCAUCCGCCACCCCCGAGCUCCAUCCGUCUGCUGCCCCCUACCCAUCCGGCUGCCUCGGAGUCACAGCCGUGGAUAGCCCCAUCAGCCGCAACCUUCACCAGCCAUGCACAAACCUUCCGAAGACAAAUUUUAGCUAUGUUAUGCCUGACGAGUUAUCCAUGCUGUGAUAGCUCCAUGGGCCUGACGAGUUAUCCAUCAUCCAUGUAUCUACUAAGUUAUCUGUGACGCUUAACCAUCAUCCAUGUAUCUAUCUUUCUUAUUAGUACUCCAGAACUAAGUCUUGUUUGGUCAUCAAUUUGUUCUCUGUUGGCAUGUAAAUUCUGGAUGUUUUUUUUGGUUUCCUCCUAAUUUAGUCCUAGGAAUGAUACAGGUUGUCAAGUUUUAUGUUGUUGAUCUGCUUCAGGCCAUGCUUCUCUGUUUCUUGAAUUAUAAUUGUUUGCAGAAUAUUUUGUGAGAGUUCCUGAUACUUUUCCUUUCUUAAAGAAGCAAACACAUAUUGUUUUCUUGAAAAGAUUGACAGCUUGUACUUCAAAUUUACCGUAUGGUAGUCAUACUAAUUUCUGAACCAGCUUAAUAGUUUUUGUAGGACCAUAGCAAAGAAUUAUAGCACCAACCACUUUAUUUAACGAUAGAUUUUUUUAGCAUCUACUUGUUAUACUAAAAUAUCAUGGUUUUCUGAAUUUAAUAUGUAAACGUGUCACCAUCGGGCACGCAACUCUCAUCUCCACUCUCUGUCAUCCGCUAGGGAUGGAGGGGCUGCCGAAAUCCACCUCAUGGAAGAGGGGUAGGCAGAAGUAUGGCGGAUGUUGUCUCCCUCCUUCCACACGGUCGCAACAUCAGGAGAGGGUUCAACCCCCGUGUGGUUCUGCACCAAGGUCUGUGACGAGGGUGAUUGGUAGUUCACCCUUACUAUGGAUGAUUAGUGGAAGUAUGUAGCAAACAAGUGCUUACAGUAGGAACAUGAAAAGGCUGGCUUGAUGCAGUUAUGUACUGUAUCGGUUCUGAAUAACCCUACUUGUGCAGUUUCUGUCAAGAAUGGAAUCUAUGAGUUCUGGAACUGGUUUGAUGAUAGGACUUGGUAAGAGCCUCACAAACAGCUGAAUAAUUUAAUAAUGUGCAGGUUAUUUGUAAAGCGAAAACACAGUUAGAAUACAUGGCUGAAUUAUCUUCUGCUGCCUUUAUUUUGAGUAUCCCCUUGGUCGUGUUAUCGGUGACACUAUGUAUCCUGGGUUGACGUUUUGAUAGCUGGAAGCAUUUGGUGGCAUGUUACUGAAAAAUGUGCCUGAAAUAUUUGAUCGGUCUACUAAGUUGGUAAACGCUCUAAACAUCCAAGUGUUGGUGGAGAUCGUUUGCGUGUUACUGCUCCAAUUUUCUCAGCAAAUGCUUUGUGGGCUACUUACCUCUUGACAAAGGAAGCAAAGGGCACUGGAGCUGGAUAGAUGCCAGUAGCCAUUCUGGCAAUGAUCUGCUCUUCUUGAGGGGGUAGGAGAGUCUGGUGCCUCCCCCAUGUAGUUGUGAAUGGCGGUGGUGGCGGAGCAAGCGCUGCCGGAGCAGCAGAUGGCGGCCGAGAGCGGCGAAGCACAGAUCUUGGCGGCGGCGGAGGCUGCAGCGGGCAGAAGGGAAAGCUCCCCUCCAAAGUCCGAGCUCUCGACGGGGAAGAGGAAUCCCCUGGCGCCCGGAUGGAAUCAGAGAUGCAAAGGCUGAGGAUUGGUGCUGCUGCACCAAGCAUGACACCGUGUCCCGAAUCGAAUCAGUGCGUUCGAGAAGGCUGUAAGAUGUUUUGCAGAGAAGCCUGCUGAAAAUGUUCUUGGUACUACAUUUGACUCCUUGGGCGAGGCUUAUGACUUCUACAAUCUGUAUUCAUGGGAAAAAUGUUUUGUCAUUCGCUACGGGAAGAGUCGGCCAAAUGUGGAGUGGGUAAAAUGCAUACAGGAAAUAGUCUGUGGCUGCUCGGGUAAAGCUGGUGUAGACUUCUACGGGCAGAAGAUAAUGGGCGGUAUAUUGCAGAGCAUAGAGAAAAUCAUAAGCACUCACUUUCGCCUAAUUUUGCUGACAAAAUCCAUUGUCCAUCACAUAAGCAUAUUGACGUGUACCUGAGAGAUCUCAUAAAGCAACUCAGGCAAAACAAUGUGAAUCUGGGCAAGGUUUAUAGUAUCAUAGGUGGCAUUUUCGGUUCAAUGGAGAAUGUUCCCUUCACCAAAAGGUCAUUGCGAAAUCUGUGUGGGCAGAUAAACAGGGACCAAGCGGAUGAUGAUGUGAGGAAGACAGUGGAAGUUUUUGCAGACAUUGGAGCCACGGAUCUGCAUUUCACAUACUGGGUUCAGGCUGACACUGAGGGCAGGAUCAAGAACCUUAUUUGGGCAACUGGUACCAGAAGGUUGCAGUACACAUUUUUUUGGAGACGUGAUAACAUUUGACACCACAUACAGGACCAACCUGUAUGAUAUGCCUUUCAGGUUGUUUGCUGGAGUCAACAAUCAUUUCCAGAGUGUGAUAAUGAUGGGCGUGCUAGUCCAGGAUGAGACAAAAAAGAGUUUCGACUGGCUAUUCUUGGAGUUCGUCAGAAUGAUGGGUGGAUCUCCACCAGUCACCAUACUCACAGGGUUGACCACUACUGAGAGCGAACCUUGCAGUGGAGAGGCAUGCUAGCAAGAUAUACACGAGGGCUAUGUUUGAGCAUUUUGGACACAUUUUGUAUGAGUGCGGGGCUUUUCAGGUUGAAGAGAUUCAAAAACAUAAGACAUACAUCACGAUCUAUAGUGAAGCAGAGAAAAGAGAGAAGUGGUCGAAAAUUUCAUACAAGGUUACAAUGCUUGGGCAAUGAAUUCGACUGCGAGUGUGGGAAAUUUGCACACAUGGGCCUGCUGUGUAGCUAUGUACUGAAGGUGCUCGAUUUCAUUGGGGCUAAAGAAAUACCAGCUAAGCAUAUAGUGAAGAGAUGGACGAGGGAUGCUUGCGACGUUCUGCCACCUCAUUUGAUACAAUGCCAAAAGGACAGCAUACAGAACAACCCUUUAUCGUACAGACACUUCAUGAUGUACUUGCACGCCAUGGAUCUAGUCAGGCUGGGCGACACUAGCGUUGAAGCCUACAAUCGGUUGCUGUAGUUGUUCAAGUCCAACUUGAUAGUGAUGGUACCCUAUGUAGAAGUUAGGGAUGGUCUUGGCCAGACUGGCGGACAGUGGUGCCGUAAAUCAGAGCCCCAUGGAGAUGGUUGCAGUGGAACAAAACAUGAUCGUUGAUGGAGGUACUGCUCAUUUAGUGGACAAUGAUUCUGUGUCCAGGAUAAGCAACAUGUUGGAAGGACUACUGGCUCCAGCAAAAUAGAAAGAUAUGGGACGGCCAAUGACAAGUAUGGAGAAGGCUCCAUAUGAAGUUCUAAGCAAGAGGACUAGGUUUUGCAUAAUUUGCAGAAAGCAAGGGCAUAAGCGAACUACAUGCCCUGACCCUGGUGAUGUCCCCAAGCAACCUUCGAAGCCUGCCAAAUGCAAGAACUAUGGCGUCGAGGGGCACCGACGAAAUCAUUGUAAUAAAGCAAUGGAACUAAGGCUGGCACCUGGCAAAUGGAAUGUAGAAGCUGAUGUGGCUCAUGAUGUCUUUCAGUUAUCUUAUUUGCUAUUGAGGCAUAUGAAUGUAGGUAUCAUGUUUUAGCUUCGGUGUGAUCAGACCGUGGUUACUUUCCAGACAGUGCAUGAGUAAUAUAAUAUACGGAGUAUGUCAGAUUGUCGGACCCUUCCCCAGACCCUGCGCAAGCGGGAGCUACAUGCACUGGGGCUGCCCUUUUUUUAGUAAAACCUUGGCCUGUUGGUGCAGCGGGAGUGGCUGAAUUGUUCUGAUUCGUUAUCUGAAAACUUGUACACUCCUGAAUAUUGAAAGAGAUGCAGAUGUGUUCUCGUUCGCUAUCUGAUUUCUGGAUUGUAAUCUAAGUUCCGGCCGUCGAUGCUUCACAGCAGGUAAACUGUUUGGCAUGAUGUUUUCGUAUGUAAAAAAAAUCCCCCAUGUAAAUGCCCCAUGACGCCGGCGAGCUUGUGUUUGAGCGGAGAAGGAGAUGGAGGCAUCAGGCAGCGGUGUAUUUGCUUCCGUACUCACAUGGCUCACCAGAUAUGCCUUGCCGGCGAUCAUCAACGAGCUUUCAGGGGGGAAGAGCUGUGUGAACCAGGUAGCAGAAAAUGAAUCUGAAGACACUGCAGAUUUGGUGGUGUCCUACGGAUCAUUUGAGAGCUCCUUCUCGAACGUCGCUGGAUUGGUCUCAGAUGAAGAUGAAUCAUAUGAAGAGCAGCCGCGCUUGCAGGCUUACAUGGAGGCGGAUCAUGGUGGUGAAGAAAGGACUGGCGACUAUGAUCCAUUUGGAGCCGCAGGGACUGAAGACCUGAAUGCCCUUGUUGGUGAAGAGGGAGAAGAUGGAGACAGAGGGGAACGAAUCUUCGGGAGGAAGGGACGAUGGGUUUGCCACAAUAAAUGCCUUAGUUGGAUGGAUCCCGUUAGAUGACUCACUUCUGAGCCGUGGGACAUGUAGUGCGGUCGCUUCUGAUCCGCCUCGCGGGCGGUGACAAUGUUCGCAUUAAAAGCGGUGGUUGAGUGGGCCAAGGGCUCUGAAAAGGCAGCAUAUACUACUUCAUAUACGAUGAGAUAUACCAAAGCUGGUGCGAAUCUAGGCGUGAGCUGAUGGCUAAGAUAUAGAGCUCAUCUGAGCUCGAGCUCAGAAUAGUACUUCCGCUGUUUGCCCCCUUUCUUUUUAGGGAAAGUUUUCUUACUGCCACAACUUGGUUGUUCUAACAUGACAAAAUAUUGGAUUUA
This is a long non-coding RNA of Triticum dicoccoides, 5255 nucleotides long. RefSeq lists it as uncharacterized. The transcript is spliced from 12 exons. Lineage: Eukaryota; Viridiplantae; Streptophyta; Magnoliopsida; Poales; Poaceae. The record is from RefSeq and is a predicted model, not a curated record.